Molecule: ribosomal RNA, 678 nt
Filed under: uncultured bacterium
Lineage: Bacteria
Description: bacterial SSU rRNA
Rfam family: Bacterial small subunit ribosomal RNA
Source: RNAcentral
GCGGCGUGCCUAAUACAUGCAAGUCGAGCGAACUGAUUAGAAGCUUGCUUCUAUGACGUUAGCGGCGGACGGGUGAGUAACACGAUGGGCAACCUGCCUGUAAGACUGGGAUAACUUCGGGAAACCGAAGCUAAUACCGGAUAGGAUCUUCUCCUUCAUGAGAGAUGAUUGAAAGAUGGUUUCGGCUAUCACUUACAGAUGGGCCCGCGGUGCAUUAGCUAGUUGGUGAGGUAACGGCUCACCAAGGCAACGAUGCAUAGCCGACCUGAGAGGGUGAUCGGCCACACUGGGACUGAGACACGGCCCAGACUCCUACGGGAGGCAGCAGUAGGGAAUCUUCCGCAAUGGACGAAAGUCUGACGGAGCAACGCCGCGUGAGUGAUGAAGGCUUUCGGGUCGUAAAACUCUGUUGUUAGGGAAGAACAAGUACGAGAGUAACUGCUCGUACCUUGACGGUACCUAACCAGAAAGCCACGGCUAACUACGUGCCAGCAGCCGCGGUAAUACGUAAGUGGCAAGCGUUAUCCGGAAUUAUUGGGCGUAAAGCGCGCGCAGGCGGUUUCUUAAGUCUGAUGUGAAAGCCCACGGCUCAACCGUGGAGGGUCAUUGGAAACUGGGGAACUUGAGUGCAGAAGAGAAAAGCGGAAUUCCACGUGUAGCGGUGAAAUGCGUAGAGAU